RNAcentral lists this ribosomal RNA (297 nucleotides) under Epichrysomallinae gen. n. 1 sp. 2059_03_3i. Its description in RNAcentral is "partial 28S ribosomal RNA". It matches the Rfam family "Eukaryotic large subunit ribosomal RNA", at positions 704 to 966 of the family's 3401-position model. Lineage: Eukaryota; Metazoa; Arthropoda; Insecta; Hymenoptera; Epichrysomallidae. The record is from RNAcentral.
AAGCCUAAAGGCGAAAUGAAAGUGAACGGUCGGCCUUUGCGUCGACGGAGGGAGGAUGGCUCGCGUUACGAUGCGAGCCCGCACUCCCGGGGCGUCUCGUGUUCUCAUUGCGAGCAGAGGCGCACCCAGAGCGUACACGUUGGGACCCGAAAGAUGGUGAACUAUGCCUGGUCAGGACGAAGUCAGGGGAAACCCUGAUGGAGGUCCGUAGCGAUUCUGACGUGCAAAUCGAUCGUCGGAACUGGGUAUAGGGGCGAAAGACUAAUCGAACCAUCUAGUAGCUGGUUCCCUCCGAAG